RNAcentral lists this non-coding RNA (22 nucleotides) under Arabidopsis thaliana (thale cress). Lineage: Eukaryota; Viridiplantae; Streptophyta; Magnoliopsida; Brassicales; Brassicaceae. The record is from RNAcentral.
UUCAUAAACUAGGGUUUCUGCC